This 468-nucleotide ribosomal RNA is filed under the name uncultured bacterium. RNAcentral's name for it is "partial 16S ribosomal RNA". It matches the Rfam family "Bacterial small subunit ribosomal RNA", at positions 28 to 507 of the family's 1533-position model. The record is from RNAcentral.
GACGAACGCUGGCGGCGUGCUUAACACAUGCAAGUCGAACGGAAAGGCCCUGCUUUUGUGGGGUGCUCGAGUGGCGAACGGGUGAGUAACACGUGAGUAACCUGCCCUUGACUUUGGGAUAACUUCAGGAAACUGGGGCUAAUACCGGAUAGGAGCUCCUGCUGCAUGGUGGGGGUUGGAAAGUUUCGGCGGUUGGGGAUGGACUCGCGGCUUAUCAGCUUGUUGGUGGGGUAGUGGCUUACCAAGGCUUUGACGGGUAGCCGGCCUGAGAGGGUGACCGGCCACAUUGGGACUGAGAUACGGCCCAGGCUCCUACGGGAGGCAGCAGUGGGGAAUAUUGCACAAUGGGCGGAAGCCUGAUGCAGCAACGCCGCGUGCGGGAUGACGGCCUUCGGGUUGUAAACCGCUUUCGCCUGUGACGAAGCGUGAGUGACGGUAAUGGGUAAAGAAGAACCGGCUAACUACGUG